CCUACGGGAGGCAGCAGUGGGGAAUAUUGCACAAUGGGGGAAACCCUGAUGCAGCGACGCCGCGUGAGUGAAGAAGUAUUUCGGUAUGUAAAGCUCUGUCAGCAGGGAAGAAAAUGACGGUACCUGACCAAGAAGCCCCGGCUAACUACGUGCCAGCUGCCGCGGUAAUACGUAGGGGGCCAGCGUUAUCCGGAUUUACUGGGUGUAAAGGGAGCGUAGACGGCAGGGCAAGUCCGGAGGGAAAGGCGGGGGCUCAACCCCCGGACUGCUCUGGAAACUGGCAGGCUGGAGGGCAGGAGAGGUAAGUGGAAUUCCGAGUGUAGCGGUGAAAUGCGUAGAUAGUAGGAGGAACUCCAGUGGCGAAGGCGGCUUACUGGACUGUAACUGACGUUGAGGCUCGAAAGCGUGGGGAGCAAACAGGAUUAGAUACCCCGGUAGUC
This 440-nucleotide ribosomal RNA is filed under the name uncultured bacterium. RNAcentral describes it as "partial 16S ribosomal RNA". It matches the Rfam family "Bacterial small subunit ribosomal RNA", at positions 338 to 795 of the family's 1533-position model. The record is from RNAcentral.